This 23-nucleotide non-coding RNA is filed under the name Arabidopsis thaliana (thale cress). The record is from RNAcentral. Lineage: Eukaryota; Viridiplantae; Streptophyta; Magnoliopsida; Brassicales; Brassicaceae.
GAAUGAACUAUUGGGUGUUCAAG